This 522-nucleotide long non-coding RNA is filed under the name Zonotrichia albicollis (white-throated sparrow). Its description in RNAcentral is "lncRNA (ENSZALG00000006994.1)". Lineage: Eukaryota; Metazoa; Chordata; Aves; Passeriformes; Passerellidae. The record is from RNAcentral.
CUUGUAAAUUACUCUGUUAAAGAGCCGGGGAAGAGCAGAGCCUACAGCAUCUCCCUGAACAAGUUAGCACUCUGUGCGAUAAAGGGAAAAAAAUACCCAAAGAAACAAUUGCCACACAUUUUAAAGAAGAAAAAUGAGAGGACUUUAAGCGUUACACUUCGUAUAUCACAUAAAUUAUCCUCUAUUCUUUAAACAAACUGUGCACUGUAAUUUAAAGCCAACAUGCAGUCACCUAUUUUCCACUGCUGCUGAACUGGAUUACCACCUGCCUUGACUCCAUCCUUUGGAAGGCUGCCAGCAUUGUUACAAUUUAAUGCUAUAUCCCACUGUGUCAGGAAAGACAUGCCUCCCCAAUCUUGCUGUCAAACUAGUGCUUGUCAACAUCCCUUAAUUAUUGCUAUUAUUAGGAAUGAAGGUUAAAUACAUGUUCUUUGUGAAUGGUAAUUUCUAUUGUCUGGUUUAGUUUUAUUAGGUUCAGUUGUGCUACUAUGAAAUAAAGCUUUAAUUGAAAGAUGAUUUUAG